Molecule: ribosomal RNA, 312 nt
Filed under: Triticum aestivum (bread wheat)
Lineage: Eukaryota; Viridiplantae; Streptophyta; Magnoliopsida; Poales; Poaceae
Description: partial small subunit ribosomal RNA
Source: RNAcentral
AUGUCUGGGCGCGGCAAGGGAGGCAAGGGGCUCGGCAAGGGCGGCGCCAAGCGCCACCGGAAGGUUCUUCGCGACAACAUCCAGGGCAUCACCAAGCCGGCCAUCCGGCGCCUGGCGAGGAGGGGCGGCGUGAAGCGCAUCUCCGGCCUCAUCUACGAGGAGACCCGCGGCGUGCUCAAGAUCUUCCUCGAGAACGUCAUCCGUGACGCCGUCACCUACACGGAGCACGCCCGCCGCAAGACCGUCACCGCCAUGGACGUCGUCUACGCGCUCAAGCGCCAGGGCCGCACCCUCUACGGCUUCGGCGGCUAG